UCUCUCUCUCUCUCUCUCUCUGUCUGUCUCUCUCUCUCCAGCCAGCACUCACUCACAUUCUCUAAAAACCUCCGUUCAACUCCCGAUCGCCUCCCAGCUGUCAGAAUCCAGAGCAUGCAUUGGAUCUCCUCUCUGAUCGCCUCCCAGCCGUUGGUUGCUAAUCUUCGCCGCACCGCCACCGGAGACCCUCCUGUCAUUCUCUGGUUGCUGAUCUUCGCCCCAAUCAAAUUGGUGUUGAAAGUUCCAUUCAAAUUGGUGUUCUUUAACCUUUCAAACCUACUAUUAGUGAUUCAAUCCCUCAUUCGUUGCCCUAAUCCGCUUCCCCAAAUCGAGGUAUCUAACUUCUGAGUUCUUGUUCUACAGAGAGCCUGUUUUCUUCGCUUCUCAUCAAUCUAGGGUUUGUUAGGUUUUUGAGCUCUGGAUCAAAAAUUCCUUGCUGGAUAGUUGUUCAACUUGUUUCUGUUUGCUUGAAUUAUGGUCACAAUUCUUGUCACAAAUAUUAGCUCCUAAAUCAGGUAUUUGAUUUAUUGGCAUAGUCUUGAAGCAUAUGGAAACUUAAAGAGUUCAGCAGUAGUGUUGAGGGCAAAGGCUGGUGCACUUGAUAAACUGGAGGCAUUUACAAGUUUUCAAUGGGCCAGAUUUUUACGGUCUUCCAAGAAACUUAUCAAAGAUAAACCUAAGAAAGAAUCCAUGGAGAGUACCAGACUCAUAUUCAUUUGCAUCUGGAGAAAUAAUUCCCAUGUUUGCAGGCUGGAGACUUUGAAAAAGCUUUAGAUGACUUUACUCAAACAGUGCUGUUUGAUCCUGAAAAUGGACAUGCUUGGAACAAUAUUGCCUGCUUGCACUUGAAGAAGAAGACAAAAAAAGCUUACAUCGCUUUCAAUGAAGCACUGAAAUUCAGGAGGAAUUGCUGGGAGCUUUGGGCAAAUUAUAGCAAGGUUGCUUUUGACAUAGGUAACAUCGGGUAGGUAUUUCUUCUUUUUUCAUUCCAAACUUACACAUGAAUAAUCUGUUUAUUGCUUUCUUUUUUGCUUGCUAUCUAAGUAGAAGGGUGUGUGAACUAAUUAUAAACUAUGCCAUACAUGAGGGGUAAUUUGCAUCGUUUAGAGGAUGCAAUUUGCUUGACCAACAAAAGUGCUCCUUGAUUUAUUGAGAAGAGUUUCAGAUACAUUUUCUUUAUAAUGGUGUGAUGUUCUUUCUGUCACUUGUUUAUUCUCUUUUUGCAUCCAGAUAAAUCGUUAGUUUAUAACAUGGGUAUCUCAUCAUUGUUUGUGCUUGUGUUGUAGUUUAUCACUGUACUUUCUGUAUUGGCAAAAUUGUCUUAUGUCUUCAACAAGCAUUUUUUUUAAUGUCCUAAUUGUUGUUAAUCCAAGCCUUUCAUGUUUCCUUGCCAUGGCUUUGUUCAUGUGUUUCUCUCAUGUUCUUUUUUAUCCUAAUAUAAGUUUUCCUGUCCACAACCCAUAAGAAUAUGUGGGGAAAUCUAUAAGAAUGUUUUUGACAGUUAGGUUAUUUUGUAAAAGAUUUCACUUCUAAAUCUGUUAAACCCUUGAUUUGAAUAUAUUGUGCUUCUCGUUCAAACUAUUCUAACCAUAUGCUCUCUUUGGAAUUGUAAGUAUAAAUUCUGCAGUAGUUAUUUAUUUUUUUUUUUUUACAUUCAGACCUGGAGGCUGUAAGGAGGCAUUAUGUGUAUGAAAUGUGCCUGGGAAUAGUGAGCUUGUUGGUUGGUUAAUCAGUCACAUUUUAAUUCAUUAAAUGGGUAAAAAAAAAUGAAUAUCUUUAUAGAAAUUAUAUGACUAUUUGAAAGACUGGUCACUUGAGUUUAUUCAUGCUAAAGCAUUAAUAACUUUGUAAGGCAGUUUAAUUUCACAAGGCUGAAAAAUUAGUUAUUAUGAGUUUAUAAUUUUUACGGGUAUUAGGCAAGAUGAAUUUGGGUUCACUCUUGUAAAUUUUUCUCACCUACCAUAUGUAGGGCCAUAUAUCUGUAAGUUUGUUAACAAGUUAGAAAGCAUAAUCAGCAAUGGACCAAUGUUUUAGUGGGAACUUACGUCAUGAAAUUCAUUCGGUGUGGCAACACAAGUAGCACUAAUGAUAAUUUUUGCAUUUCUUAACAACUCUGUGUUGAGCUUUCUCCACUUCCCGAGGAAUGCCCGUAGGAACUUCCCUCUAAACAUGUAUAUUUCAGAUAAGGAAAAAGAAGGUUGAAUUUGAAAGAACAAAUUAAAGGGAUAGGUGCUGUGUGAUGGCCAGUCUUUGUGCUUUUUUUAUAUUGUUGGAUGGAGUGAUAAGCUGCAGAAUUGGAACAUUAAAUGGAUAAUAUGGAGGAUUAACUUUAUUUUACCAUUCUUUUUAUCUCGCUGAUCUCUGUAGGGCCUGCCCAUACAAAUCCACAGUUGUGUUUCAAUAAUUUUAGAUAAAAAGUUUGGCAGUAGUAAUCUCAAUACAUUACACAGCACAACAGUGAAUUUCUUUGAUUAUUAGUCAUUAAGAAAAUGUCACAAAGAAAUCAAUGACCGUGAGAUAUCUAGUUUGGCCAAUGUUUUUUUUUCUCUUACUUUUCCUUUUUCUUCAAAAAAUAGUUAUGAUGAGGUGCAUGAGAAUAAGUACAGUUCUGUGCCGCCAAGUGGUGUGUUAUGAUCAGCUUGGGAAAGGUAAUCAUUUGCUUUUGUUUUGAUUGAUUAUGUGAGUAGGUAUUGUCUUAACAACUUGGCGAAUGUGAAAGCUUGUUCUAAGUCAAUGGUUUUGGGGCUUACAUUGCCUUAUCACUGACAUCUAUAUGUACUAUUUGCUGUAAUCAUGAAAUCGAACCUACGUCCUUUACAAUGCCAUCUCUAUUUUAAAAAAUAUCUGUGUGAUAUUAUUUUGCCAUCCCUAGUAUGUAUCUAGAUUUAAAAUUUUUGUGUUACAAACUUGUGGUCUGUUACAAUGCUUGUCUAAACAAUAAUGUAGUUAUUUCUCACUGAUUCAUUAAUUUGUGGUUAAUGCUCUUUCAUAUAAGAAAUAGAUCAAAACAUAGUUGUAGGUAUAUAUAGGAAUUGAUAUAAUACAUAGUGCCAUAACAAUGAGUAACAUUAGCUCAUUACGUAAAUUCUUUUUGUGCUAUGGAAUGGGUUUAUUGUGUAGCAUUUGCUUGAGUUUAAACUGACAACAUUGAUGAACUGCAACAAUCUAAUCAAACAGUUUCUAUACACACCAUGUGAUAUGGAAAGUCGUAAUAGAAUAUUAGAGUUGUUUGAUGGCUAAGAUUUCCAUUAUGAACUAUCAAAGCGCUGACGAAGGUACUUUGUAUUGAGUCCAGACUCACAGAUCAGCGCAGGCCGGUUCAUGCUACCUGGAUAAACAUGAACAAGAAUUACUAAUAAUAACGGAAGUGAAGAAUGUAGUUGUUAUAUUCAAGACCAAUUGUGCUUUUAUAUGAACCCUUAAAUAACUUGGUCAUAGCAUAAGUUUAUACGAACACUAAUUAUUCAUCUAGUUUGCAUGUAGACUGAUUUAAUUUGGUAUGUCAAGAGUUAUCAUAAAGUUUCAAAUUUACAAUGUCUGCACAUUAACUCUAACUGACCUCCUAAUACCAUAAUUAUCUUAUUUAAAUCUCAAGUUAUCAUUUCCAUGUACAAGUAAAAAAAGAAUUAAUAUAAACCUUUCAAAAGCUUGUCAACAUUGAAUAGGGUUAUGGAAACAGAGCCAUUGAGACUGAAAAGAGUUUCAGUCUCAAUGGCUCUGUUAUGUAUAUUAAGUUCACAUCGACAUUAAACUUCAAAUAUUCAUGUUUCACAAAAAUCCAAGCUUUGCAAGUCAUUUAGUAGGUUAUGCUUGGACAUAUGAAAUGCAUUAGUAUUUGCAAGUGAAUGGAUGGAACCACUAUAAGCAGAGAAAAUAAAAUAAGACUGAACUGAAGUUUAAAAAUGAAUUUUCAUACUUGACAAUUUUAUUGAGAACCAAAAGUCAAUCACUAGCAAAACCUUAAUUUUUGGACUUAGCAUGUAAAAGUCUUCAGAUACUUUCUAUAGCAGCUAUGCCUGAUAUGACUAAGUGGAGUGAAUGUGUAUGCCUCACAACAUAAGUUAUUGAGAAAUUUUAACCUUGUACUUGCAUGUAUAUGCCUACCAAACUUAAAUCUGCC
This is a long non-coding RNA of Dioscorea cayenensis subsp. rotundata (Guinea yam), 4120 nucleotides long. RefSeq lists it as uncharacterized. The transcript is spliced from 5 exons. The record is from RefSeq and is a predicted model, not a curated record. Lineage: Eukaryota; Viridiplantae; Streptophyta; Magnoliopsida; Dioscoreales; Dioscoreaceae.